RNAcentral lists this unclassified non-coding RNA (378 nucleotides) under plant metagenome. RNAcentral's name for it is "partial contains 5.8S ribosomal RNA, internal transcribed spacer 2, and large subunit ribosomal RNA". The stretch from base 1 to 105 matches the Rfam family "5.8S ribosomal RNA", at positions 50 to 154 of the family's 154-position model. The record is from RNAcentral.
GAAAUGCGAUAAGUAAUGUGAAUUGCAGAUUUCAGUGAAUCAUCGAAUCUUUGAACGCACCUUGCGCUCCUUGGUAUUCCUUGGAGCAUGCCUGUUUGAGUAUCAUGAAAUCUUCAAAGUAAAUCUUUUGUUAACUCAAUUGGUUUCUACUUUGGUAUUGGAGGUCUUUGCAGCUUCACACCUGCUCCUCUUUGUUCAUUAGCUGGAUCUCAGUGUUAUGCUUGGUUCCACUCGGCGUGAUAAGUUAUCUAUCGCUGAGGACACUGUAAAAGGUGGCCAAGGUAAAUGCAGAUGAACCGCUUCUAAUAGUCCAUUGACUUGGACAAUACUUUUAUGAUCUGAUCUCAAAUCAGGUAGGACUACCCGCUGAACUUAAGC